This 27-nucleotide non-coding RNA is filed under the name Cricetulus griseus (Chinese hamster). The record is from RNAcentral. Lineage: Eukaryota; Metazoa; Chordata; Mammalia; Rodentia; Cricetidae.
UGUACAGUAGAUUUUGCAGAUGUAAUA